Molecule: ribosomal RNA, 504 nt
Filed under: uncultured bacterium
Lineage: Bacteria
Description: partial 16S ribosomal RNA
Rfam family: Bacterial small subunit ribosomal RNA
Source: RNAcentral
GACGAACGCUGGCGGCGUGCCUAAUACAUGCAAGUAGAACGCACAGUUUAUACCGUAGCUUGCUACACCAUAAACUGUGAGUUGCGAACGGGUGAGUAACGCGUAGGUAACCUGCCUGGUAGCGGGGAUAACUAUUGGAAACGAUAGCUAAUACCGCAUAAUAUUGAUUAUUGCAUGAUAAUUGAUUGAAAGAUGCUAUUGCAUCACUACCAGAUGGACCUGCGUUGUAUUAGCUAGUAGGUGAGGUAACGGCUCACCUAGGCGACGAUACAUAGCCGACCUGAGAGGGGGAACGGCCACGCUGGGACGUAGACACGGCCCAGACUCCUACGGGAGGCAGCAGUAGGGAAUCUUCGGCAAUGGACGAAAGUCUGACCGAGCAACGCCGCGGGAGUGAAGAAGGGUUUCGGAUCGUAAAGCUCUGUUGUAAGGGAAGAACGGGUGUGAGAGUGGAAAGUUCACACUGUGACGGUAUCUUACCAGAAAGGGACGGCUAACUACGUG